RNAcentral lists this ribosomal RNA (253 nucleotides) under uncultured bacterium. Its description in RNAcentral is "partial 16S ribosomal RNA". It matches the Rfam family "Bacterial small subunit ribosomal RNA", at positions 524 to 776 of the family's 1533-position model. The record is from RNAcentral.
GACGAACCGUCCUAACGUUGUUCGGAAUCACUGGGCUUAAAGGGCGCGUAGGCGGGUUCCCAAGUCGGUGGUGAAAUCUUUCGGCCCAACCGGAAAACAGCCGCCGAUACUGGGAGUCUUGAGGGAGGUAGGGGUCGAUGGAACUUCCGGUGGAGCGGUGAAAUGCGUAGAGAUCGGAAAGAACACCAACGGCGAAAGCACUCUGCUGGGCCGACACUGACACUGAGAGACGAAAGCUAGGGGAGCGAAUGGG